GUUUGCUUCAUUAAAGGGUUACGCCAACCACAACGACCAUUUCUGCUUUUAGAAGUGGUUAUGGUGCAAGCAAUCUGUAUGUGCAGCGUUUUAGCUCUGCCUAUACAGGGAAAUCUGUGAUUGUGUACCUAGGUGUAGUUACAUCUAUGGCACACAUGACUUAGCCUGUUCCAGAUUGACUAACGUGAGUCCUGUGCAAAAAGUACGACCAUUGUUGGCUUGCACUGGCUCUGGCGACAGAUAUACUAAG
Molecule: non-coding RNA, 250 nt
Organism: Pelobates cultripes (western spadefoot toad)
Lineage: Eukaryota; Metazoa; Chordata; Amphibia; Anura; Pelobatidae
Source: the annotation of a GenBank genome assembly